RNAcentral lists this ribosomal RNA (433 nucleotides) under uncultured bacterium. RNAcentral's name for it is "partial 16S ribosomal RNA". It matches the Rfam family "Bacterial small subunit ribosomal RNA", at positions 29 to 507 of the family's 1533-position model. The record is from RNAcentral.
AACGAACGCUGGCGGCAUGCCUAACACAUGCAAGUCGAACGAGACCUUCGGGUCUAGUGGCGCACGGGUGCGUAACGCGUGGGAACCUGCCCUUAGGUUCGGAAUAACUCCCCGAAAGGGGUGCUAAUACCGGAUAAUGUCUUCGGACCAAAGAUUUAUCGCCUUUGGAUGGGCCCGCGUUGGAUUAGCUAGUUGGUAGGGUAAAAGCCUACCAAGGCGACGAUCCAUAGCUGGUCUGAGAGGAUGAUCAGCCACACUGGGACUGAGACACGGCCCAGACUCCUACGGGAGGCAGCAGUGGGGAAUAUUGGACAAUGGGCGAAAGCCUGAUCCAGCAAUGCCGCGUGAGUGAAGAAGGCCUUAGGAUUGUAAAGCUCUUUUGCCGGGGAUGAUGAUGACGGUACCGGGAGAAGAAGCUCCGGCUAACUCCGUG